UUUUGCUAUUUUGUAAUCUCUGGUUUUGAACCCAGUAGUUUAGGUCUCUCUUGUUGGGGUUAAGGCCGCUCGCCUUCACCCGUUUUCGUCGUCGGGUUUGUACCUCUUUUGCUUUUCUCUUAAUGAAAAACGGGUCUGCCCCAAUCGCGAAAAAAAAGUAGAAAAAAACCAAAAUCCCUCCGUCCAACAGAUCCAUUUCUUCCUAAAUUGACCGGAGGUUGCUAGGCCACCGGCGGCGGCUCACUUUCCAGUCUACCUCGUCCUGGCUGCAGCAUUAUCCGCCGAGCUUGGUGCUUCGCCAUCGGAGGGGAGGCCGAGCAGCAACGGUGGCGGCAUCUGCAGCCUCGUCUCAGCCACCAUCAUCGCCAGCCUUGAAGCCAAGUUGCAGGUACAUCAACUCAAGACCAAAUACUACUCGUAGAUUCCAAUCACUUUAACGCAACACAGAGGAGCUCAAGGAGCCGCCCAGACAUCAUCAUUAUCAGAAAAUGCAGCCUUCAAAAUUGGUGAGAUUGGCUUACGACCUGAUACACAACCACUAUCAUGUGUAGAGGAGAAUAUGAUUUUCCAAUCAUGCUACAAAGAAGUCACAGAAGUCAAAUCAUCCAAAUUAUAUGGGCAUGGAUAUUUGUCUAAGUAUCGAACUCGUAAAGAACUUAUGAAAGAGAACCUUGAAGUUCAUGCACGUGUUGAAGCUGCAGCUAGAGAGAAGAAUAUUGCUUUUGAAGCACAGGUUGAGCAACUCAAAGAAUAGAUUGCGCAAGACGCUCUAGAGAGGGAGAGGGAGAGAGAAGAAAUAAGGAGGAAGAUGCAAGAGGAGCUAGAAGAAGCUAAACAAAAACUAAUUAGAAGACAUGAGACAAGACUUUCUUAAAAUCAUGGCACAACACAAAGAAGCAACUCUGAAUGUGAGUACACCACAAAACAAUGAGAAUACACAAGUUGCACCAACCAUACAAGACGGCGAUGAGACUCCUCAACAUGAACAAGAUAAUGUCUUACAGCAGACUCAGCCUGGAAGUGUUGUCACAGUACAAAGAGAUGCAGCUGCUCAUUGUAGUAAUAAUUCUAGUAUUGUUGGCAAAAAGCUUUUCAACGAUAACAAUGAAAAUGUGCCACAAUCGAAGGUGCAUAUCACUCUACAACAGCUGUUGAAUAAAUCAAGAUCAAGCAAAAGGAGGAGUUAGGUAGACAAGAUUUUAGAGGGAGGCUCAUAAUCAAGCAACAACAUUGGUGAGACGAUGACAUCGAUGUUAGAAAGUCUAGUCUACUUGCAUGUUUUUAAUAUUUUUGGAAUAAUAAGAGAAUUUCAUUUAAGAUUUUAGCUACUCUUUGAAUCAUUUGUCAUACUAUUGGAUGAUGACCGAGUAUAAAUUAUUAUA
This is a long non-coding RNA of Sorghum bicolor (sorghum), 1382 nucleotides long. RefSeq lists it as uncharacterized. The record is from RefSeq and is a predicted model, not a curated record. NCBI's taxonomy places the organism in Eukaryota, Viridiplantae, Streptophyta, Magnoliopsida, Poales, Poaceae. The transcript has 6 exons.